Molecule: long non-coding RNA, 453 nt
Filed under: Panax ginseng (ginseng)
Lineage: Eukaryota; Viridiplantae; Streptophyta; Magnoliopsida; Apiales; Araliaceae
Description: long non-coding RNA (PGIN_LNC017822)
Source: RNAcentral
UCUCAUUUUCUAAUACUCCAAUUUCACACAAGAGUGUAGCUGCAAAUUCCAUGAAGCCGGAAUUUCUCACUCAUGGUCAUGGACACCAAACCAUCAAGUUCGGAGUCUUCAUCUUUAGACCCAACUGCGCUCGACUAAAGUCCACUGUUACAAUUACACAAUCUUGCCUUCCCAAACAGGACCUUAAAGGCCAAUCCGUCGCAGUAAGAUACCCUUGUUAACUUCUUUUCCUUUUUCGACCUUUAAUCUGUACUGUAAAUAUGUUACGUACUAAUCUUUCCAGUAUUUAUUCUUCUGUUACUGAUUUUUCUGUUGAUCGUUUGUUUUGAGGCUUAAUUAUGUAUUCCAUGCCUCCUAAACUUGGCACGCUUUAACGCCAGGAUCUUCUGCCACAUUCCAAUCACGAAAGACGUCCUGAUUCUGCACAGUAAACACGACAAACACCACAAGUUU